GCGGUGACAAUUUCCGGCACGGUGGAUACAAUUUCCGGCGCGGUGGUUAUUUGCAAAAUAUUCCGAUCUUAAUUAUUCUUUGUGGGUUUUGUAGAGGAGAAGGAGGAGAGUUUUUUUAUAGUGAUGAUUUUUCAAAAAGUGGUGUUUGAUGAUCGAUCUCUAGAUCUAAAAAAAUGAUAACCACCACUCUUAGAAAAAAAAAACAUAAGAGAAAGAUUAUGAAGAAUAACGUUUAACAUGGUGAUAAAGAUGAGAUUUGAGGGUAACAAAACCAAGUUGGAGGGAUUUAAGGGUUGCCGGCGGCUAGGGUUUGUUUGUAGGAGAGAGCUUUACAAAANNNNN
This 342-nucleotide long non-coding RNA is filed under the name Trifolium pratense (red clover). RNAcentral's name for it is "long non-coding RNA (TPRA_LNC007352)". The record is from RNAcentral. Lineage: Eukaryota; Viridiplantae; Streptophyta; Magnoliopsida; Fabales; Fabaceae.